Leptinotarsa decemlineata (Colorado potato beetle) is the source of this 1304-nucleotide long non-coding RNA. The record is from RefSeq and is a predicted model, not a curated record. Lineage: Eukaryota; Metazoa; Arthropoda; Insecta; Coleoptera; Chrysomelidae.
UUCACAUUUUUAGGUCUUUCGUACUCUAAAAUGCCUUGUAUUCGCAACGGGUCUGGUUUGAUUCCUUCUUGUGUGAGGAUAUAUCCUAAAAAAGUGAUUUCCUUCCUGAAGAAGUGACACUUUUUUAGUUUAACAGUGAAGCCCGCUGUUCGGAGGCGUCCGAAAACCCUACUCAGAUGUCUCAGAUGUUCUUCAACAGUAUCUGACAGUAUCAGCAAAUCAUCCAGGUACGUGUACAAGAACGAACUGAAUUCGUGACUAAAAACAGUCCGCAUACAGCGUUCGAAAGAACUGACUGCUGUAGAAAGACCAAACGGAAGACGACAAAAACGAUAACAUUUCGUACCAACCAUGAAACCCGUGAAUUUUUUGUGUUCUUCCUUUAUUGGAAUCUGAUAAUAACCGUAUGCAAGAUCAAUGGAACUCAUUAUCUUGCGUCCUUGGAUUGAUCUAAGAAUUUCCUCUAUAGGUUUCGGACAUUCUCUUUCCGGAACUAACAAGGUGUUGAGAUGCCUAGCAUCUAGGCAGAUUCUGACAGUUGCAUCCUUUUUCAUAGUUGUCAUAAGGGGUGAUACAAACGGAGCUUCCACACAGCGCUCAAUAACACCCCAAGACUCCAUCUGAUCUAAAGCUUGGUUAACAGUCUCCCGGUGAGACAUAGGAAGGGGAUAAGGUUUGACAAAAAAUUCGCUUUCAUCUCUUAAGUGAAUUUCAUAAAAGUAUUCUUCUGUCUUACCCGGAAUUUCUGAAAAAAUAUCAGUAAACUCUUCCAUUAACCUACGGAAGUCAUUUUUUUCGGAAUGUGUCAAAAAAUUUGCAUCCCAAAUAUUUUCUUUUUUUUUUCAUCAAAUAUAAUAUUGUUUUUUAUGGGAUUGCUUUUCAAGACUACUGAAAGACCAACUUCAUCAGGGGGACUAUUCUCAUGAUGGUAGAAAACCUCAGAUCUAAUUUCGCAUGAAAUUUUCUUAAGAAGUCGAUCCCCAAAAUGAAUUCAUAAAUUAAGUCGGCAGUCAACAGAAACUCGUGGGUGAAGACAUGAGAAUUUGCAGAAAAAUCAAGGCACAAAGUUCAGCAAAUGAACGACUUCUGCUGCUAUUCGAGAUACAUCAUCUGCAUGUAACAUGGGAGGCACUGAUGGAGAAUGAAUAGGUCUCAUACCCACAGGGGGAGAAGGCAGGUUAAAGCUCAUGUUCACCCUCACUUCGUGUGGCCGAAGACUGCUCUUGGGUGUUUCUAUAUGUGGGACGUUUGCAUUGACUGGUGCAGGAAGAUUCUGGGCUGAAUUUAAUAAAAGAUUUGUCCUA